This 4603-nucleotide long non-coding RNA is filed under the name Canis lupus familiaris (dog). RNAcentral's name for it is "lncRNA (ENSCAFG00000059443.1)". Lineage: Eukaryota; Metazoa; Chordata; Mammalia; Carnivora; Canidae. The record is from RNAcentral.
AUUUAUUGAAAUCUACUUGAUGCAAGGCACUGUGCUAGAUCUGGUAGGGGAAUCAGACAUAAAGGGUCACCCCUGUCUUAUAAGAGCUCACAAUCUAACGGGGGAGGGGUGGGUGGGGAGGGCAGGGAGGGCGAAGCUCUAGUGCAAGGCUGAUUAUAGUAAGUGCCGUAAAACAGACAAGUUAAGGAGACCAGGGAGGAAUGAGAGAAGAGCGCCAACAACUGAAAUAUGGACUGGGGCGGGCCCAGCUACUGUUCUUAGAUAUGCAAAGAGCAUUGAAGGCCAAGUUAAAAGAGACCAUCUCUAGCUUGGAAAGUAAACACCUACACCGAUACAAUGAUGAGAAGUACAGCACGUGAGUAUACUAGUAAUAGAGAAAUUCCCAAUUCCCCACUUUAACAGAUUCUCCAGAAGUAGCGAGACUUCCAAAAUGAACAACAGGGCGGGUGUUGACUGACACUCGUUUCACGGGACAAACAGGGGAUCCGUACAGGCACGGUACCCGGACAGAAAGGCAUUGGUCAAACUCGCUGAGAGUAAAAGGCAUAGAUUUUUACCCAUCGGAGCGAACAGAACACAGGACCACAUUUAAACAGGUGUUUUCGACCAUCAGGUGGGGCUGGGGCCAGGAGCUCGAGCGGGGUGGACCAUGAGGAAACCAGCCAUGUGAUUCUUCUCAGGAGGCGGCCAGGUGGUAAAAGGCCACUGACUCUUGACGGGUUGCAGAAAGCAGAGCCCCCCUCAAGCUGGCUUCGGUCAAGGGAGACUCUGGUGGGGAGACAAACGAACUGGUGAGGGCAACUGCCAGAGAUCCAAGAACAUAACGAGGCCAGGACUCCGUCGGGGCGCGGGAGUUGAGGCAGCUCUCUGAGUGCUGAGCAGGAGCCCGCAGAUCUUCCAACUGGUGUCACCCACGGGGUCGACUCCUCUAAAUACCGCGUGGCUCCCUCUGUCUUGUGACACCAACUAGAAACUUCUCUCCCGUGUCUCUUGUUUCCAUUUUGCGACAAACAGAGGAACUGAACGGCCCAGCCUGUCGCCUCCAGCCAGCUCUGAUGACCAGUUGCUGCCCGAGUCAAGCGUUCAGUUCUGGUUCAACUACUAUGGCCUAAAAGUGGGGGGUGAGGGCUGCAGCCCCGAGCCCGUGGAAUGCCAACACUGUGACUGGGUGGGGCUCACUGUGGAAAUGCAGAAGAGGGUGUGACACAACUAAUCAACACAGUUAAUCUUAAUAAGCAGCAACAAUGGUAAACAACAACUUUCAUUGAAAAAAUGUCAGCAAGUAUUCAAAACUGUAAUAAAAGCAAUGGAAGGUUUCUUUCGGAAAAUAAGAAAAGGAUCUAUUUCUAAUGAGAGUCGGCAUUCUGUGUAACCCAACUGCUCUUCAUUUCCCUUGCAAAAGGAAUGUGUGUGAUUAGAAAGAAAAAAAACGAAAUGAGGUAGAUACACAAAUGCAUAGACGAGCACACACAACAGGAAGCUUGAUCACAUUUUGCAUCUGACGUAGCAGUACACCUACAGAAUCCAAGGAAUCCACCCCCAAGUUACCAGAGGCAAAAAACGAAACUUGGCACAACUACGGGACACACGUUAAAGCCACGCAUGCUUGCGCGGGAGAGAGCACGGACUUCACCCGCAAACACAGUGGCAGAAAAGACGCGGUCUUUAGUGUUAACUCUAGAGGAGGGUUGGUUUUGGAGAAAACGACAGAACCGAGAACGGAAAAACCUCAAGGACGGCACGACUGCCAGGAUGCCGUGUCCUGCCUGCUGGGGAGGAAUGGAGCGGUGGCGACAACGCUAAGUUCUGAGUUAAUACUGUAUCUGGAUCCUUCAUGAAAGCUGGCAAAAUGGCUAGUGAACAAGCAAGAAAUGGCAGAGUACUUCCAGCGACAGUCGCCAGACUUGCCCCUCGUGAAUGUCAGAUUCCUUACUGGAUGACAGCUGUGUCGAACAUGUCCUGACAGCUUGAAAAGAGAAAACGGAUGCAGAAGGAAGCAGUGAUUUCAGACACAGUUUCACAACUACUGCAAGAACUGAAGCCACAGAGCAAAAGGAGCGGCUAUGUAACAAGUGCUGUUGGCUUCUCUCCAGCCUGAGGGUCAGGGUGGAGACGUCACAGAGAGCCACCACUGUGGCCUGGGGGCCACUCCAGAGUACCUUCUGGCUAAGGUCACAGGGGUCACCGUGGGACCCUGCUUCCCAGGAUGGGGGCCUGAGAAGCUCUUCCAGAUGUGCCUGCCGGGAAGCUCUGCCUCAACCUGGGUGGGCCCAUCAGAAGGGUACACUUCCUCCAUGGGCCCUCUAGAGGCCCCAGGGGACAGCUGCUGGGAAGUCACACCACAGCCCCAGUGAGGCUGGCUUCCACCUGCAGGUUCUGCAGGUCACUGGGGGUCAGGUUUCUGGCCAGCCCUUGCUGCUGUUCCUCUCGAGGGAGGCUGUUGGAAGGAACAGCCUGACCCCGGGACGAUCAGCUUCUAUGUAUAUGCCACAUGGGCCAUCAGAAGGGCAUCAUUGCCCUCCAGACCCCUGUUUUAUUGCCCCUCCUGGGCAUGGCCGCUGAAUGUCAUAGCUGGGGCCUAUUAUUGGCCAGCUUCUAUCACCGAGACACACACGGCAUCAGAGGAGCACGGUUCCUCUCCGAGCCUUUGCUCUGUUGUUCCUCUUAGGUAUAGCUGCAGGAGGUAACAUCAGAACAUGUGGGUGAAUUUCCCCCUAGUUGCCCAAAGCAAAAGCCACCAAGCCGACCUCUUUCUGGUUCCAGAGUCACUCACUGAGAGGAGGAUGCAAUCCACACGACAGCAUCAGUUAGGUGAGUCUUCUUAUGUUCGAGGAGAUGUGUCUUGGGGGGGGGGGGAUCUGCUGCUCAGGCACUGAAUCCAUGCUGGGCAUGGCCAAAGCUCCCAGAAGCUUGAAGGACAGCCAGCUGCAGCCAAGACCACAUUUGGACCACCCCCCGUUGAUCUAGUGGAGGCCCAGCCCUGCUGCUGACAGGUAGGGCUAUACUGAGGAACAGUCAGAAUGUUCUGGCCAAUCCGAGAUGGAAGUUUCUCUUGCGUGUCUGCGUGGCCAGGUUGGAUAGUCAAGUACUGCCCACAGACAUGCACAGAGUCUGCAUCUUGGAUGAGGAGAGAGCCUGCUUCUCUGGCCCAUUCCCAUCCAGCCUGCCCACCUGGUGCAUCCACCUUCUGGUGGGGCAGGGCUUUCAGCUUUUCAUUUGUAAUUAAAAUUCUAGAAGAAAACAUCAUCGUAUCUAAGUACUGAAGCAAUGAAAGUUACGGCUUAACGGACAACGGUGAGUGCUCGGAUAUGAAAACUUAAAAUUCGCACGACAAAAAUGUAAUAAAACGGCUACAAAGGGCAAAAGCAAUAAAACUGGAAAAAAGAUAAUCACAAUCGAUCUAGAAAGAACUGCUGUAUAAAGUCAAUAUAUCCAAAGGUAACUUGAUAACUGGUCAAAGGAGAUGAACGUACGAUUUGCAUGCAAGAAAACGGGAACACGAUUUAAGUCAUUGCAUGAGAGAAAGAAGAUGAGACUAGGAGUCAGGAGGCCUGGGUCCAUCCCCAGUUCUGGUACUAAUGAGCCAUAGAAUGACAGCAAUAAUUAUGGUGAUGACGGCAGAUGACCUUCACUGAGGGUGCACCUUCGGGCCAGGCGUGGCGUCGCGGUUCUCACGAUAACCUUAGGAGGUAGUCCUGUGAUCACCCCUGUUUUACAGAGCCCAAAACGGAGGGCUGGCUCCGUUUGCGGGGAGGCUCACAUUCCUGAAAACGAGCCAUCAGCUUAUACUGGAGUCCUCGAGAUGUCCCUGUUACGGGGAUGCUCUCUCAACUACUUGAGUUUGAACCAAAUAGUGCUGCUUGAGGACAAGACCUAUUAGCCCGAAAACAGACCCCAAUCGAUGCUAGUUUUGGACGCACAUGGAAGUCACCAGAAUGAAUUGGUUUCAGAAAAAUGAAUGCAAAAGAAAUUUAACCCAGAUUCAAUACUUAUUCCUAGGCAUAUGACCUCACGAUGACAAGUUAUAGAUGCUUCAGAAAAGUCUUUUGAAGGUCAUUUUCAGAAAGCAAAACACGUUAAGUGGUUACGUUGUAGAGCUACGGGAUGAAUUUAAGGAAAACAACAACAGUUGUCCUAAUGUAAUGUGACCGUGUACUUAUGGCUUGGGAGGAAAUUUCUAGAGAGGGCCUUGUGCAGGGAUUGUCACAGUGCUACGUGGCACACAGCUUGGAUGAACGGAAGCCACUGGAUGUGCUUUGAAACUGUCGGGUGACUCCAGAGGGGCUACGAUGGUGGUGAGGACGGUGAGGACGGUGGUGAGAAACGCACGUGAGGAUUUAGAAUACGAUGGUCUUCGGGAGUGGCGUGAGGGAAAACGGGGGGUAUUCUCUAAAUUAAUAUAUUAUUCUAUGCAAUAUGUGAUUUACAGUAUGUAUGCAGAACUGAAUUAAUAAAUUAAAUAUUAUAAGACCUUUCUUUGAGUGUUCUAUUUACAUCCCUAAACAUUUCUAAAUUCAAGUAGGCCAAACGACUUUGGGGCUCUCUUGUCUUCAGGCAAGUUGGGGUCACAUGAUGUGGCGGCCGUCGCCGACGCGCUCUGCGU